RNAcentral lists this ribosomal RNA (440 nucleotides) under uncultured bacterium. RNAcentral describes it as "partial 16S ribosomal RNA". It matches the Rfam family "Bacterial small subunit ribosomal RNA", at positions 338 to 795 of the family's 1533-position model. The record is from RNAcentral.
CCUACGGGUGGCAGCAGUAGGGAAUAUUGCUCAAUGGGGGAAACCCUGAAGCAGCAACGCCGCGUGGAGGAUGAAGGUUUUCGGAUUGUAAACUCCUUUUGUUAGAGAAGAUAAUGACGGUAUCUAACGAAUAAGCACCGGCUAACUGCGUGCCGGAAGCCGUGGUAACACGGCGGGUGCAAGCGUUAUUCGGAAUCACUGGGCGUAAUGAGCGCGUAGGCGGGAUAGCAAGUCAGAUGUGAAAUCCUAUGGCUUAACCAUAGAACUGCAUUUGAAACUGUUAUUCUAGAGUAUGGGAGAGGUAGGUGGAAUGCGUGGUGUAGUGGUAAAAUGCAUAGAGAUCAAGAGGAAUACUCAUUGCGAAGGCGGCCUACUAGAACAUAACUGACGCUGAUGCGCGAAAGCGUGGGGAGCAAACAGGAUUAGAUACCCUAGUAGUC